UGAUAAUUACUUUGUCAUUGUCAUUUUAUCUGCCGUAGCAGAAGAAUUCUCUAUUACAGAGUCUUGACUAAGAAUGCUUUUUUCUUUUGCUAAGUAGCCAGGGCACUGUAGGUUAUGAAAUUAAAGCUUAAAUUAUAGUAGGGUAAAGUGGUUGGACCCAGGAACACAGAUACAUUUGUAUCCUUGGUUGGCCUGACGUGCCAUCAGAAAGUUAGGAAAUUCUUCAAAAUAUUCAGCUAAAUGAAAUCCUCCAUAAAUUAAAAGGGUUUGCUUUAGCUUUGUGACCUAGGGUUAUACAUUAUGCUAAGCAAGUAUAACAGACUAUGUUCAAAGGCUAAAGAGCAGGUAGUAAGUGUUUAAAGCAGCAAGAGUCGUGUUUAAAAAAAAAAAAAAAGUCUUUAAAAAUGGAUUGUUCUAGGCUAUAAUAAACUAUGAAUUGUAAGAGGUUAAUUGACAAAAUGAUACUCGUCUAACGCCAUCUCUGCAACAGCAAUCAUUGCUGAAUCCAUAAUUCAGGGGUCUCGCUAUAUUGACAAUUACAUUUCCUCAGAAAGACUCCAGUUAUUUCCUCAGUCUGUUUAACCUAUGGUAAUUAAUUAUAGAUUUACAAGCGGUACACAGGCAGAUACAGGUAUCUGCAACCACGGCACUGCUGGCAAGAAAGAAAAACGCCUGCCUGCAGCCCGGGGCGGCCCAGAUAUCAGUAUGAAGAUUCAUGCCAUGAAUUGACCUUCGCCUCGCUCGCCGUCCGAAUCAGAAAGCCAGCGCGGGUGAUGAAAAGCAACAGUUCCCCAACGGGAAGCCAGACGGAGUCACUGGUAUUGCUGUUUUGCAGAAAGGAGUUGCCAGGCACUGGCUACGUCGGUGCCUUUUGUGAGCAGAAGGAAGUGCCACACGUUCACUUCUCUCCACGCCUGCCACGGUCUGUACCCAAAAAAAUGGCGCAGACUUGCUAAGACGGGGCUAUUAUAAUGUCUUCUUAAUUACAAUUCAUUACUACUUUUUUUUUUUUUAACAGUACAAACUUCUCAGCUAUAACAAAAGAUGUUUAAGAAACAAACCUUGUCAAAAUAAAUGAAUUAAGAGCA
Non-coding RNA from Phalacrocorax carbo (great cormorant), 1088 nucleotides. The record is from RefSeq and is a predicted model, not a curated record. Lineage: Eukaryota; Metazoa; Chordata; Aves; Suliformes; Phalacrocoracidae.